AGACCAAGGGUUCCUGUCCAACGUUAAUCGGGGCAGGGUGAGUCGACCCCUAAGGCGAGGCCGAAAGGCGUAGUCGAUGGGAAACGGGUUAAUAUUCCCGUACUUGGUGUUACUGCGAAGGGGGGACGGAGAAGGCUAUGUUGGCCGGGCGACGGUUGUCCCGGUUUAAGCGUGUAGGUGUGUGUUCCAGGUAAAUCCGGUUCACUUUAACACUGAGGCGUGACGACGAGGCACUACGGUGCUGAAGCAACAAAUGCCCUGCUUCCAGGAAAAGCCUCUAAGCAUCAGGUAACAUCAAAUCGUACCCCAAACCGACACAGGUGGUCAGGUAGAGAAUACCAAGGCGCUUGAGAGAACUCGGGUGAAGGAACUAGGCAAAAUGGUGCCGUAACUUCGGGAGAAGGCACGCUGACACGUAGGUGAAGUGAUUUACUCAUGGAGCUGAAGUCAGUCGAAGAUACCAGCUGGCUGCAACUGUUUAUUAAAAACACAGCACUGUGCAAACACGAAAGUGGACGUAUACGGUGUGACGCCUGCCCGGUGCCGGAAGGUUAAUUGAUGGGGUCAGCGCAAGCGAAGCUCCUGAUCGAAGCCCCGGUAAACGGCGGCCGUAACUAUAACGGUCCUAAGGUAGCGAAAUUCCUUGUCGGGUAAGUUCCGACCUGCACGAAUGGCGUAAUGAUGGCCAGGCUGUCUCCACCCGAGACUCAGUGAAAUUGAACUCGCUGUGAAGAUGCAGUGUACCCGCGGCAAGACGGAAAGACCCCGUGAACCUUUACUAUAGCUUGACACUGAACAUUGAGCCUUGAUGUGUAGGAUAGGUGGGAGGCUUUGAAGUGUGGACGCCAGUCUGCAUGGAGCCGACCUUGAAAUACCACCCUUUAAUGUUUGAUGUUCUAACGUGGACCCGUUACCCGGGUUGCGGACAGUGUCUGGUGGGUAGUUUGACUGGGGCGGUCUCCUCCUAAAGAGUAACGGAGGAGCACGAAGGUUGGCUAAUCCUGGUCGGACAUCAGGAGGUUAGUGCAAUGGCAUAAGCCAGCUUGACUGCGAGCGUGACGGCGCGAGCAGGUGCGAAAGCAGGUCAUAGUGAUCCGGUGGUUCUGAAUGGAAGGGCCAUCGCUCAACGGAUAAAAGGUACUCCGGGGAUAACAGGCUGAUACCGCCCAAGAGUUCAUAUCGACGGCGGUGUUUGGCACCUCGAUGUCGGCUCAUCACAUCCUGGGGCUGAAGUAGGUCCCAAGGGUAUGGCUGUUCGCCAUUUAAAGUGGUACGCGAGCUGGGUUUAGAACGUCGUGAGACAGUUCGGUCCCUAUCUGCCGUGGGCGCUGGAGAACUGAGGGGGGCUGCUCCUAGUACGAGAGGACCGGAGUGGACGCAUCACUGGUGUUCGGGUUGUCAUGCCAAUGGCACUGCCCGGUAGCUAAAUGCGGAAGAGAUAAGUGCUGAAAGCAUCUAAGCACGAAACUUGCCCCGAG
Molecule: ribosomal RNA, 1478 nt
Filed under: Salmonella enterica subsp. enterica serovar Enteritidis
Lineage: Bacteria; Pseudomonadati; Pseudomonadota; Gammaproteobacteria; Enterobacterales; Enterobacteriaceae
Description: partial 23S ribosomal RNA
Rfam family: Bacterial large subunit ribosomal RNA
Source: RNAcentral